CCUACGGGAGGCAGCAGUGGGGAAUAUUGGGCAAUGGGCGCAAGCCUGACCCAGCAACGCCGCGUGAAGGAAGAAGGCUUUCGGGUUGUAAACUUCUUUUCUCAGGGACGAAGAAAGUGACGGUACCUGAGGAAUAAGCCACGACUAACUACGUGCCAGCAGCCGCGGUAAUACGUAGGUGGCAAGCGUUAUCCGGAUUUAUUGGGUGUAAAGGGCGUGUAGGCGGGAGCGCAAGUCAGAUGUGAAAACUCAGGGCUCAACCCUGAGCCUGCAUUUGAAACUGUGUUUCUUGAGUGCUGGGGAGGCAAUCGGAAUUCCGUGUGUAGCGGUGAAAUGCGUAGAUAUACGGAGGAACACCAGUGGCGAAGGCGGAUUGCUGGACAGUAACUGACGCUGAGGCGCGAAAGCGUGGGGAGCAAACAGGAUUAGAUACCCCAGUAGUC
This 443-nucleotide ribosomal RNA is filed under the name uncultured bacterium. RNAcentral's name for it is "partial 16S ribosomal RNA". It matches the Rfam family "Bacterial small subunit ribosomal RNA", at positions 338 to 795 of the family's 1533-position model. The record is from RNAcentral.